Molecule: ribosomal RNA, 396 nt
Filed under: uncultured bacterium
Lineage: Bacteria
Description: bacterial SSU rRNA
Rfam family: Bacterial small subunit ribosomal RNA
Source: RNAcentral
UACCUUUAACAGGGGAAUAACCCGUUGAAAAACGGACUAAUACGUCCAUAACACAGGGGUCCCGCAUGGGAAUAUUUGUUAAAGAUUAAUCGGUUGAAGAUGGGCAUGCGUUCCAUUAGCUUGUUGGUGAGGUAACGGCUCACCAAGGCCACGAUGGAUAGGGGAACUGAGAGGUUUAUCCCCCACACUGGAACUGAGACACGGUCCAGACUCCUACGGGAGGCAGCAGUGAGGAAUAUUGGUCAAUGGAGGCAACUCUGAACCAGCCAAGUCGCGUGAAGGGAAUGAAGGUCUUAUGGAUUGUAAACUUCUUUUGCAAGGGAAUAAAGUGGGGACGUGUCCUCCUUUGCAUGUACCUUGCGAAUAAGGAUCGGCUAACUCCGUGCCAGCAGCUGC